Molecule: ribosomal RNA, 502 nt
Filed under: uncultured bacterium
Lineage: Bacteria
Description: bacterial SSU rRNA
Rfam family: Bacterial small subunit ribosomal RNA
Source: RNAcentral
CAACCCUGAUCCAGCAAUGCCGCGUGAGUGAUGAAGGCCUUCGGGUUGUAAAGCUCUUUCGCCCACGACGAUGAUGACGGUACCUCCAGAAGAAGCCCCGGCUAACUACGUGCCAGCAGCCGCGGUAAUACGUAGGGGGCAAGCGUUGUCCGGAUUCAUUGGGCGUAAAGAGCGUGUAGGCGGCCAGGUAGGUCGGUUGUGAAAACUGGAGGCUCAACCUUCAGACGUCGACCGAAACCAUCUGGCUAGAGUCCGGGAGAGGAGAGUGGAAUUCCUGGUGUAGCGGUGAAAUGCGCAGAUAUCAGGAAGAACACCCGUGGCGAAAGCGGCUCUCUGGAACGGUACUGACGCUGAGACGCGAAAGCGUGGGGAGCGAACAGGAUUAGAUACCCUGGUAGUCCACGCCGUAAACGAUGGGCGCUAGGUGUGGGAGGUGUCGACUCCUUCCGUGCCGCAGCUAACGCAUUAAGCGCCCCGCCUGGGGAGUACGGCCGCAAGGCUA